GGGAGUUUAGCUCAGCUGGGAGAGCAUCUGCCUUACAAGCAGAGGGUCAGCGGUUCGAUCCGUUAACUCCCA
RNAcentral lists this transfer RNA (72 nucleotides) under Streptococcus pyogenes. RNAcentral's name for it is "tRNA-Val". It matches the Rfam family "tRNA". Rfam says of the family: Transfer RNA (tRNA) molecules are approximately 80 nucleotides in length. Their secondary structure includes four short double-helical elements and three loops (D, anti-codon, and T loops). Lineage: Bacteria; Bacillati; Bacillota; Bacilli; Lactobacillales; Streptococcaceae. RNAcentral also lists the same sequence under 1 other name. The record is from RNAcentral.